AUGGGGUGACUGCGUACCUUUUGUAUAAUGGGUCAGCGACUUAUAUUCUGUAGCAAGGUUAACCGAAUAGGGGAGCCGAAGGGAAACCGAGUCUUAACUGGGCGUUAAGUUGCAGGGUAUAGACCCGAAACCCGGUGAUCUAGCCAUGGGCAGGUUGAAGGUUGGGUAACACUAACUGGAGGACCGAACCGACUAAUGUUGAAAAAUUAGCGGAUGACUUGUGGCUGGGGGUGAAAGGCCAAUCAAACCGGGAGAUAGCUGGUUCUCCCCGAAAGCUAUUUAGGUAGCGCCUCGUGAAUUCAUCUCCGGGGGUAGAGCACUGUUUCGGCAAGGGGGUCAUCCCGACUUACCAACCCGAUGCAAACUGCGAAUACCGGAGAAUGUUAUCACGGGAGACACACGGCGGGUGCUAACGUCCGUCGUGAAGAGGGAAACAACCCAGACCGCCAGCUAAGGUCCCAAAGUCAUGGUUAAGUGGGAAACGAUGUGGGAAGGCCCAGACAGCCAGGAUGUUGGCUUAGAAGCAGCCAUCAUUUAAAGAAAGCGUAAUAGCUCACUGGUCGAGUCGGCCUGCGCGGAAGAUGUAACGGGGCUAAACCAUGCACCGAAGCUGCGGCAGCGACGCUUAUGCGUUGUUGGGUAGGGGAGCGUUCUGUAAGCCUGCGAAGGUGUACUGUGAGGUAUGCUGGAGGUAUCAGAAGUGCGAAUGCUGACAUAAGUAACGAUAAAGCGGGUGAAAAGCCCGCUCGCCGGAAGACCAAGGGUUCCUGUCCAACGUUAAUCGGGGCAGGGUGAGUCGACCCCUAAGGCGAGGCCGAAAGGCGUAGUCGAUGGGAAACAGGUUAAUAUUCCUGUACUUGGUGUUACUGCGAAGGGGGGACGGAGAAGGCUAUGUUGGCCGGGCGACGGUUGUCCCGGUUUAAGCGUGUAGGCUGGUUUUCCAGGCAAAUCCGGAAAAUCAAGGCUGAGGCGUGAUGACGAGGCACUACGGUGCUGAAGCAACAAAUGCCCUGCUUCCAGGAAAAGCCUCUAAGCAUCAGGUAACAUCAAAUCGUACCCCAAACCGACACAGGUGGUCAGGUAGAGAAUACCAAGGCGCUUGAGAGAACUCGGGUGAAGGAACUAGGCAAAAUGGUGCCGUAACUUCGGGAGAAGGCACGCUGAUA
RNAcentral lists this ribosomal RNA (1166 nucleotides) under Escherichia coli. RNAcentral's name for it is "partial 23S ribosomal RNA". It matches the Rfam family "Bacterial large subunit ribosomal RNA", at positions 588 to 1756 of the family's 2925-position model. The record is from RNAcentral. Lineage: Bacteria; Pseudomonadati; Pseudomonadota; Gammaproteobacteria; Enterobacterales; Enterobacteriaceae.